UGGGCCGGUGCGGCGGGGGUCUGCGGCGGCGGCGCCUUGCGCGCGGCGCUGCCCACCUUGAGUUCGAUGCUCGGCGGCUCGCC
Molecule: transfer RNA, 83 nt
Filed under: Chitiniphilus shinanonensis
Lineage: Bacteria; Pseudomonadati; Pseudomonadota; Betaproteobacteria; Neisseriales; Chitinibacteraceae
Description: tRNA-Ala
Source: RNAcentral